RNAcentral lists this small nuclear RNA (309 nucleotides) under Camelus dromedarius (Arabian camel). RNAcentral's name for it is "7SK RNA". It matches the Rfam family "7SK RNA". From Rfam's summary of the family: 7SK was discovered as an abundant small nuclear RNA in the mid-70s but a possible function has only recently been suggested. Two independent studies have found that 7SK RNA binds the CDK9/cyclin T complex (known as elongation factor P-TEFb). Lineage: Eukaryota; Metazoa; Chordata; Mammalia; Artiodactyla; Camelidae. The record is from Rfam by way of RNAcentral. RNAcentral also lists the same sequence under 1 other name.
GGAUGUGAGGGCGAUCUGGCUGCAACAUCUGUCACCCCAUUGAUCGCCAGGGUUGAUUCGGCUGAUCUGGCUGGCUAGGCGGAUGUCCCCUUCCUCCCUCGCCGCUCCAUGUGCAUCCCUCCCGAAGCUGCGCACUUGGUGGAAGAGGUCGACUAUCCCCGAUAGAGGAGUGUCCUUCUCGGUCAAGGGUAUAUGAGUAGCUGCACUCCCCUGCUAGAACCUCCACACAAGCUCUCAAAGUGAAAAUUGAGUAAAAAAUCAGGUAAAUAAUUUUGCCCCCAAACAUAGGCUUAGAAAUAAUAUUAUUGA